RNAcentral lists this ribosomal RNA (493 nucleotides) under uncultured bacterium. RNAcentral's name for it is "bacterial SSU rRNA". It matches the Rfam family "Bacterial small subunit ribosomal RNA", at positions 322 to 807 of the family's 1533-position model. The record is from RNAcentral.
AGACACGGCCCAGACUCCUACGGGAGGCAGCAGUGGGGAAUUUUGGACAAUGGGCGAAAGCCUGAUCCAGCAAUGCCGCGUGUGUGAAGAAGGCCUUCGGGUUGUAAAGCACUUUUGUCCGGAAAGAAAUCCUUGGCUCUAAUACAGUCGGGGGAUGACGGUACCGGAAGAAUAAGCACCGGCUAACUACGUGCCAGCAGCCGCGGUAAUACGUAGGGUGCGAGCGUUAAUCGGAAUUACUGGGCGUAAAGCGUGCGCAGGCGGUUUGCUAAGGCCGAUGUGAAGUCCCCGGGCUCAACCUGGGAACUGCAUUGGUGACUGGCAGGCUAGAGUAUGGCAGAGGGGGGUAGAAUUCCACGUGUAGCAGUGAAAUGCGUAGAGAUGUGGAGGAAUACCGAUGGCGAAGGCAGCCCCCUGGGCCAAUACUGACGCUCAUGCACGAAAGCGUGGGGAGCAAACAGGAUUAGAUACCCUGGUAGUCCACGCCCUAAAC